GAUGAACGCUGGCGGCGUGCCUAAUACAUGCAAGUCGAGCGAACAGACGAGGAGCUUGCUCCUCUGACGUUAGCGGCGGACGGGUGAGUAACACGUGGAUAACCUACCUAUAAGACUGGGAUAACUUCGGGAAACCGGAGCUAAUACCAGAUAACAUGUUGAACCGCAUGGUUCAACAGUGAAAGACGGUCUUGCUGUCACUUAUAGAUGGAUCCGCGCCGCAUUAGCUAGUUGGUAAGGUAACGGCUUACCAAGGCAACGAUGCGUAGCCGACCUGAGAGGGUGAUCGGCCACACUGGAACUGAGACACGGUCCAGACUCCUACGGGAGGCAGCAGUAGGGAAUCUUCCGCAAUGGGCGAAAGCCUGACGGAGCAACGCCGCGUGAGUGAUGAAGGUCUUCGGAUCGUAAAACUCUGUUAUUAGGGAAGAACAAAUGUGUAAGUAACUAUGCACGUCUUGACGGUACCUAAUCAGAAAGCCACGGCUAACUACGUG
RNAcentral lists this ribosomal RNA (497 nucleotides) under uncultured bacterium. RNAcentral's name for it is "partial 16S ribosomal RNA". It matches the Rfam family "Bacterial small subunit ribosomal RNA", at positions 28 to 507 of the family's 1533-position model. The record is from RNAcentral.